RNAcentral lists this ribosomal RNA (407 nucleotides) under uncultured prokaryote. RNAcentral's name for it is "bacterial SSU rRNA". It matches the Rfam family "Bacterial small subunit ribosomal RNA", at positions 355 to 776 of the family's 1533-position model. RNAcentral also lists the same sequence under 1 other name. The record is from RNAcentral.
UGGGGAAUAUUGGGCAAUGGGCGCAAGCCUGACCCAGCAACGCCGCGUGAAGGAAGAAGGCCCUCGGGUUGUAAACUUCUUUUGUCAGGGACGAAGGAUGUGACGGUACCUGACGAAUAAGCCACGGCUAACUACGUGCCAGCAGCCGCGGUAAUACGUAGGGGGCGAGCGUUGUCCGGAAUGACUGGGCGUAAAGGGCGCGUAGACGGCUGUCUAAGUCUGGAGUUAAAGUCCUGCUUUCAAGGUGGGAAUUGCUUUGGAGACUGGAUGGCUUGAGUGCGGAAGAGGUAAGUGGAAUUCCCAGUGUAGCGGUGAAAUGCGUAGAGAUUGGGAGGAACACCAGUGGCGAAGGCGACUUACUGGGCCGUAACUGACGUUGAUGCGCGAAAGCGUGGGGAGCGAACAGG